This 29-nucleotide non-coding RNA is filed under the name Bombyx mori (domestic silkworm). Lineage: Eukaryota; Metazoa; Arthropoda; Insecta; Lepidoptera; Bombycidae. The record is from RNAcentral.
UACCAUGUUGAAUACACCGGUUCUCGUCC